UACGUAGGUGGCAAGCGUUGUCCGGAUUUACUGGGCGUAAAGAGCGCCCAGGCGGUCGGCCAAGUCGAGUGUGAAAGCCCCCGGCUCAACUGGGGAGGGUCAUUCGAUACUGGUCGACUCGAAGGCAGGAGAGGGAAGCGGAAUUCCCGGUGUAGUGGUGAAAUGCGUAGAUAUCGGGAGGAACACCAGUGGCGAAGGCGGCUUCCUGGCCUGUUCUUGACGCUGAGGCGCGAAAGCUAGGGGAGCAAACGGG
RNAcentral lists this ribosomal RNA (253 nucleotides) under uncultured bacterium. RNAcentral's name for it is "partial 16S ribosomal RNA". It matches the Rfam family "Bacterial small subunit ribosomal RNA", at positions 524 to 776 of the family's 1533-position model. The record is from RNAcentral.